GCAUGGCUGUCGUCAGCUCGUGUUGUGAAAUGUUGGGUUAAGUCCCGCAACGAGCGCAACCCUUAUCCUUUGUUGCCAGCGGUCCGGCCGGGAACUCAAAGGAGACUGCCAGUGAUAAACUGGAGGAAGGUGGGGAUGACGUCAAGUCAUCAUGGCCCUUACGACCAGGGCUACACACGUGCUACAAUGGCGCAUACAAAGAGAAGCGACCUCGCGAGAGCAAGCGGACCUCAUAAAGUGCGUCGUAGUCCGGAUUGGAGUCUGCAACUCGACUCCAUGAAGUCGGAAUCGCUAGUAAUCGUGGAUCAGAAUGCCACGGUGAAUACGUUCCCGGGCCUUGUACACACCGCCCGUCACACCAUGGGAGUGGGUUGCAAAAGAAGUAGGUAGCUUAACCUUCGGGAGGGCGCUUACCACUUUGUGAUUCAUGACUGGGGUGAAGUUGUAACAAGGUAACCGUAGGGGAACCUGCGGCUGGAUCACCUC
Molecule: ribosomal RNA, 486 nt
Filed under: uncultured bacterium
Lineage: Bacteria
Description: bacterial SSU rRNA
Rfam family: Bacterial small subunit ribosomal RNA
Source: RNAcentral